Chenopodium quinoa (quinoa) is the source of this 838-nucleotide long non-coding RNA. RefSeq lists it as uncharacterized. The record is from RefSeq and is a predicted model, not a curated record. Lineage: Eukaryota; Viridiplantae; Streptophyta; Magnoliopsida; Caryophyllales; Amaranthaceae. The transcript has 3 exons.
UCCACCGGCAAUAUGUCAGUAAUCGACGCCUAAUUUUCUUUGUGAUUGAAGUGCUGCAAAAUUAAAAAGUUCCUCCUUUUCCAGCGUGUGCACUUCUCUAACAUUGUUAUGUGCGGGUCUGCCUUCGUUUACUUAGCAAGUGGACAGACUUCAAAGCAAGCAUCUUCCGUGACAACAAUUUUGUGAAACAGCCAGGAAAUCUCAUGUUGCUGAAGCUGUGACUUGUUUGGCCAGACUUGAAACAUGAUCUGAGCACUGCUAAAUUAUCUUUGUACAGCAGCUGCAGGCUAUAACGGGUUUGAUAAAGGCUUUUUUUGUAUGGUUUUCAUGGCUAGAUGGCCUCAUUCAUGUUUAUGGUAUGUUCUACCAGCUUACCCGGCCAUAAUGACAGGCAUCUCCUACUUCAGACCUUCCAACAUAAUCAGCCUGUUAUGACCUUGUUUUCGUUAAAGAUCUUUUCAGAGUGGAAGAUUCCAUGAACAAGGAUAUUUCUAAAACAUCAUCAAUUGCAUAAGUAUUAAUUGUUCUCUCCAGAACUAACUUAGGCAUGCCGUAUUUCGAUCAGCUGAUGAUGUAUGAAAUAAUACUACAAAGUAUUAGCUAACCAUACAAGAUUAAAAUUUGGUCCUUUGAAGUAUGGAAUUGGUGCAAGAUUAAAGGUUCGGAAUGUGGUAUUUCGAUCAUUUGGUGAUGUACUCUGUACGAGUAGUGUAGCAAUUCACUUUCUAAAUAGUUAUGCAACUUAUACUAAAAUUUUACCCUGAUUCUUGUAUAUUAAUCUUUUUCCUAUUAAGUCAUCAAAUACUCGAAUAUCAUGAUUUUAAGUCAUUAUAAGCUA